RNAcentral lists this long non-coding RNA (852 nucleotides) under Homo sapiens (human). RNAcentral's name for it is "novel transcript, antisense to LIG1". Lineage: Eukaryota; Metazoa; Chordata; Mammalia; Primates; Hominidae. The record is from RNAcentral.
GUAAGAUGUGCCUUUGCUCCUCUUUCGCCUUCUGCCAUGACUGUGAGGCCUCCCCAGCCGUGUGGAACUCCCCAGUUCCCCAGGACCUUGCAUAUGGCCUGCAGCUCCUCACUGUCCUCGUCGUAGGAGGCCAGCAGGAAGCCCCCGUACCGGCCGGCCCGCUUCCCCCGGCCCAGGACCUGAGGAAGAUCCACCUCACGCCAAUGUGGAGUUGGAAAGAGAGGGACCUUGAAGAUGUCCUUGAAAGAAUCUUAAGGAACCUCAGGGGUCCUCAGACCACACUUUGAGAACUGCUGCCCAAGUGUGGCUUCCUGGCCAUGUGAAGUGGCAGAGUCGGAAAUGGAAGUCAGAGGGGCAGCUGCCAGGCUCACACCCCACCCCGUCACCCCUCAGCUGCCCCUGGACAGGAAGCUGGAACUCACCUCUCCAUUGAGGUAGAUGAGGUCGAAGGCGUACAAACACACCUGCACCUGGAUCUCAGACGCAUCCACCUCCUGGGUUGGGGCACAACGGAGUUCGUGAGUGCAGGAAGGUGAGACGGGGCACUGUGCCUGAGGCCGACAGCAUUCAUCUACCGGUCUCCCUCUCGCCCCACCUAACUGGCUGCCCAUCUGUGAGGGCGGCCAUGCUGCUGGCUCCAGGUGCUGGAUCGUUAACGGCUCUCAGCUAAUUCCGACAACCUCAUUCCCCUUCACCAGAUAUUUGCUCUCCUAGACUUUUCUGCAGCUAAUGGCAGUGACAUGGCACAGUUCUGGCCAAUGAGAUGGAAAAGGGGAAACCUGUGGGGUGCAGGUUGUGGGGUUUUCCAGAACAGAUCUUCUUUCAUAGUAAAACAACAGAGAUGCCCGAAAA